Molecule: ribosomal RNA, 497 nt
Filed under: uncultured bacterium
Lineage: Bacteria
Description: partial 16S ribosomal RNA
Rfam family: Bacterial small subunit ribosomal RNA
Source: RNAcentral
GACGAACGCUGGCGGCGUGCCUAAUACAUGCAAGUCGAGCGCUGAAGGCUGGUACUUGUACCAACUGGAUGAGCAGCGAACGGGUGAGUAACGUGGGGGGAAUCUGCCUUUGAGAGGGGGACAACAUUUGGGAACGAUUGCUAAUACCGCAUAAAAACUUUAAACACAAGUUUUAAGUUUGAAAGAUGCAAUUGCAUCACUCAAAGAUGAUCCCGAGUUGUAUUAGCUAGUUGGUGAGGUAAAGGCUCACCGAGGCGUGGAUACGUAGCCGACCUGAGAGGGGGCGCAGCUACAUUGGGAUGGGGAGACGAUCCAACCCCCUGCGGGAGGCACAAGUAGGGAACUCUCGGGAAUGGCCGCAAGUGUGACCAAUGGACGCCGCGCGAGUGAAGAAUGUUUUCGGGUCGUAUAAGUGUGUUGGUAGAGAAGAACGUUAGGGAGAGUGGCAAGCUCAUAAAGUGACGGUAACUACCCAAAAAGGGACGGCUAACUACGUG